AUUGAACGCUGGCGGCAUGCCUUACACAUGCAAGUCGAACGGUAACAGGGAGCUUGCUCCGCUGACAAGUGGCGAACGGGUGAGUAAUGUAUCGGAACGUACCAUUCAGUGGGGGAUAACGUAGCGAAAGUUACGCUAAUACCGCAUAUUCUGUGAGCAGGAAAGCAGGGGAUCGCAAGACCUUGCGCUGAUUGAGCGGCCGAUAUCAGAUUAGCUAGUUGGUGAGGUAAAGGCUCACCAAGGCGACGAUCUGUAGCGGGUCUGAGAGGAUGAUCCGCCACACUGGAACUGAGACACGGUCCAGACUCCUACGGGAGGCAGCAGUGGGGAAUUUUGGACAAUGGGGGCAACCCUGAUCCAGCCAUGCCGCGUGAGUGAAGAAGGCCUUCGGGUUGUAAAGCUCUUUCGGCCGGGAAAAAAUCGCAUCAGUUAAUACCUGGUGUGGAUGAUGGUACCGGAAUAAGAAGCACCGGCUAACUACGUG
This 484-nucleotide ribosomal RNA is filed under the name uncultured bacterium. RNAcentral's name for it is "bacterial SSU rRNA". It matches the Rfam family "Bacterial small subunit ribosomal RNA", at positions 30 to 507 of the family's 1533-position model. The record is from RNAcentral.